GAUGAACGCUGGCGGCGUGCCUAAUACAUGCAAGUCGAGCGAACCACUUCGGUGGUGAGCGGCGAACGGGUGAGUAACACGUAGGUCAUCUGCCCAUCAGACGGGGACAACGAUUGGAAACGAUCGCUAAUACCGGAUAGGACGAAAGUUUAAAGGUGCUUCUGGCACCGCUGAUGGAUGAGCCUGCGGCGCAUUAGCUAGUUGGUAGGGUAAAGGCCUACCAAGGCGACGAUGCGUAGCCGACCUGAGAGGGUGAACGGCCACACUGGGACUGAGACACGGCCCAGACUCCUACGGGAGGCAGCAGUAGGGAAUCUUCGGCAAUGGGCGAAAGCCUGACCGAGCAACGCCGCGUGAAUGAUGAAGGCCUCCGGGUUGUAAGAUUCUGUUAUAAGGGAAGAACGACUUUAGUAGGAAAUGGCUAGAGUGUGACGGUACCUUAUGAGAAAGCCACGGCUAACUACGUGCCAGCAGCCGCCGUAA
Molecule: ribosomal RNA, 483 nt
Filed under: uncultured bacterium
Lineage: Bacteria
Description: partial 16S ribosomal RNA
Rfam family: Bacterial small subunit ribosomal RNA
Source: RNAcentral